Molecule: regulatory RNA element, 53 nt
Organism: Rhizobium sp.
Lineage: Bacteria; Pseudomonadati; Pseudomonadota; Alphaproteobacteria; Hyphomicrobiales; Rhizobiaceae
Rfam family: terC RNA
Source: Rfam
CUACCAGGCCGGGCCCCUCUGGCAGCCAUUGGCUGUGAUGUCGGACUGGAAAA